AACCAAACUGGCCAACAGUUCAAGGUUCCCCAGGGCUUAAGCAUGAGCUCUUCCUUCUGGCCUGUGGACCAGGCUGCAAUUCUCUGAGCUGUGCAGGCUGCUGACUCGGUGAAAGACUGCAGUCGACAAAAAUGGUCUCUGACCAAGUCAGGACAUAUCAAAACAGCCAGAGCAACGGAGGAACUGAAUUCUCAAAACUUUGAGAAACCGCUGGAGACUGUUUAAACAGACAUUAUUUCAACAGAGCAGGAGGCCACAUUUGCAAGUUCAGGAAGCCAUAUGUUACACUCCAGAGGCAUGUGUAAUGUGUCAGCUAUGAAGGCCUGCAUGUGGGAAAGCCAGAGUUUAGCCUCAAUGCAGGAUCCCAACAUCCCUGCUCGUAUAUCACUGAGGAGAUUUUCAGUGGCUGGCCGGUAAGUCUCCUUGCUAUCCAAUCUCUUCCAAAUGACACCUACUUGCUCACGGCCCUUCCCCUUAGCCUCUGAAAGCCCUGACUGUCUCCACCCAGGAGAGCAAACAGAAUGUCACCGUGAUGAAUGCCCUUGGCCAGACAUGGCAUCAUCUUUUAUGGAAAACGGAAAAACCAGUAGAAAUCCAGUGGUCACAGACAUCUGGCCAGCGGGCAGGCUUGAGUUUUGAAAUAUAUCAGCAAAGUAGUCCACUGGCACAGAAGCGAGCCGGGAAGAAAGAAAGAGGCUAAAGCCCAAACCACUGCCAACUGAAGUAACUCUUGCUGUAUGGGUCUCCUGGAGCAGCCAUCAGAGGAAGUCUACUUGGGAGAGUAUGCUUGGAAACGUUUUCAUUUUCCCUUCUAGUUUAUGGAGAAGACUAGAUUGCUUGGCCAAUACAACCAGUAAGGCAAAGUAGAAGACAAACAGUGUUUUUACUGGGAAGGUUUCUGAUUCAUGAUAUCCAGAAAAAAAAAGGAAGUAAGAAAAAGAAAAAAUAGCACAUCAAAACUUUAAAACCAGACAAUAAACAGUCAAGUUCAUGGUCCUAACUAGUUUUCCCUCAGUUUCACUGCAAGAGCCAGGACUGGGUAAUGUCUACCUACUACCUUAAAGUAAUAAACAGUAUACAGAAGGCUGUUACACAGGCAAGAGACAAGCCCCAAUAUUUGUUCAUUCAUCUAACGAGUAUUUAUUUAGCUCCCUUUACAUGAGUGGCAUAGCCUUUACUGACGUCUCUGUAACUUUGUAAAGAUACAUGGUAACGUUACCAGGAGCAUGCCAACAAUGAGAGCUAGUGUCCCCCAGCGUGUGUGAAACUGAGAGCCAACCCCAUAGAGUGGAGAGAACUUUUAGUCAGACAAGCACAUUUCUGGACCAGAUGAUGAACCAGGUCAUGCAGGGAGUGAUAUUCAGGUAAAUGAAGAACAGUCACAGUGAAGGAUGCAGGUGCAUUCAGUAAAUGGUGUAGACAAGGGAGGAAGAUGCAGGUGCAAUCAGCAGAUGGUGUAGACAAGGGAGGAAGAUGCAGGUGCAUUCAGCAGAUGGUGUAGACAAGGGAGGAAGAUGCAGGUGCAAUCAGCAGAUGGUGUAGACAAGGGAGGAAGAUGCAGGUGCAUUCAGUAAAUGGUGUAGACAAGGGAGGAAGAUGCAGGUGCAAUCAGCAGAUGGUGUAGACAAGGGAGGAAGAUGCAGGUACAAUCAGUAAAUGGUGUAGACAAGGGAGGAAGAUGCAGGUGCAUUCAGUAAAUGGUGUAGACAGGAGCUGAUCCAAGUGAAGCCUUAAAAGAUUGUUCUCUUUAAUCAUUACUAGUACCUCACGACAUAGAUACCUGUCUACUCUCCUAUGCAGGAGGCCCAGCACACUCAUGAAGAUCUUCCCACCUAUGUGCAGUGGUUCUGGAGCAGCAGCCGAGACAUCCACUUAAGACAGGGUUUGCCUGCCCUACUGCUGUUCACCAUCUAGGUUACACUGUGUCUGCUAUUCACCCCGAAACCUCUCACCCUCCCUUUUCUGAACUAUGCCACAGUUCCUGAAGCCUUUCUAAAUGCCGAACGCUAUGCCAUGGACAUAACACCUCCUCCCAAGACCAGGCAGGUCAUUCUGCUAACAGACUUCAACAUACUGCUGCUCAGGGAGGCACUAUUUCCUGGGCUUGCGUCCUGGACUGUGCAAAAGGAGAGAAAAGAAGCGGAGAGCACCAACAUGCACGGGUUCACCCUCUCUCCAUUCUUGACUGUGGAAAUGAGUGCUUCACCUUCCCAACUUCCUGCCUACCCUGGGAUGGUUCACUCUAUUCCUGGCCUCUGACCCAAAUAAGGCUUCUCCCUUAAGGUGUUCUGUCAGUGCAGUCACCACAGCAGCAGAUGUGACUGGAAAGCUCGUUUCUCCCCCUCUGCACUGGAUGCCACCACGGACGAACCCCUUUCUGCCUCUUCCUCUGUCUGGAGUGUACUGGUGGAACCUGGGCCGCACGAAGAUUACGGGACUUGUAUAAUGCCAUCCUGUUCAUAGUACAGAAGAAAGAAACAGCUCAAUGGAAAGGGAAAAAGAGGAAGAACUUUUACAAUAAGAGGAGGUGAAGCAAACGCAGAGGUAAGCCGUGGAGUCAGGGGCAGAGGAGGAAGAACCAAGGGGAGCAGCAGGGUGUCUGACAAGAGGGCCUGGGAGGGGGUUGGGGAUUUAGCUCAGUGGUAAGAGCACUUGCCUAGCAAGCACAAGGCCCUGGGUUCGGUUCCCCAGCUCCAAAAAUAGAGAAAAAAAAAAGAGGGCCUGGGAGGAGGUGGACUAGGUGGCUGGCUGAUCUUUAACUGGGCUGUAUUUGCCUGAGGUGGUGAAGAGGAGGAGGAGGAGAGGAACAGAGAAGCAGAGGUAUGGAAUUGGGAUAUCUUGAAAAAGGAGACGUCAAAGCUAGCAGAAUCAGUGGUGAGUUAAAUAUGACCACGCACGCACACACACACACUCACACACACACACACACACACACACACACAAGGGGAAGGAGAAUCGAAUACUUCAUAAAUUGAUGAAAGGAGGUUUUCAAGCAGCCCUGAAAAAGUCUGACUGGGAGCAGAAAUUAUAACAAUGUGAAGGACUCUGGCAAUGCCAGAGGAUGCUUUCUUGGAAGAUCAAAUAGCACAUCCUGAGCAGAGGCUGACUGUAGUAGUCCUGCAGCGUCCACUCACCUCUCUGGUCUGCUCCAUGCUUGUUCUCAAUCCCUGGGCCAAGCACUGUGCUUAGCUGGGUUCAAAUCCUGGCCCUAAAUUCAUUUAACUUUGUGCAUUGCAGUUUCCCACACUGUAAAACAUGGUGGCCGAUAACACACUUUACGUACUGCUGGAUGGAUUCCAUAAUGCCACCGGAGAGACCUAUUUGGACACUUUGCAAUGAAUCACCCUACUAAAAUAGAACCAACUAUGCCUGGAUUCUAGACAACAUUCCAAGGCCUAAAAGUCACCAUUCCAAUUUUCUAUACAUUUUGCAACAGGGGCUAGAAGCCUCAGAAUUCAUUGAGUGAUUUAAGUAGUCAAAAUACUAUAUAUAUGUAAGUCCAAUGGUGAGCAUUCUCGGAUGUUAUCUGCUUAUUAUUCUGUAGUGCUGCUCUACGUGAUAGGCAAGCAUUUCACUACUCAGCUGUGUCCACAGACCCAGAGAUUAACUUUAAGUAGUCUGGAUAUUUUAAUAGAUGGGAGGUGAAAGAUACUACUGACUUAUUUAUAACCGACCACUUAUAGUUCUUAAGAAAGGGCAGAUCUGCUGUAGCCUUUCUAUACUCCAAUAAUAGCAACCCAGAGUAAACUCCAAUAUCCACCCACAAAGGGGAAAAAGGAGAAUCUAGUUCCAAGGAAUUCCUUCUGCCUGCUGCUAAAGGCAGAGGUCAGUGCUUAUUAACAGCACAGACAAUGGGUUAGAGGGCCACCAUCAGUCCAUCCGAUCUGUCCACGCUUCAGAAGAGCCUCUGUAGAGAUGGCCCUCUGACACCAUUAUCACCCCAGGCCCCAGAGGACACAAGGCUUCCCAAGCAGGCUCAGGAAAGCCCGACUCUUCAACAGCACAGUUCUGAGCACCACCGAGAGAUCAGAGCUAGCAAUGCUGGCAGAUGUGGAGAACUUGGAAAACCUAUGCAUGUUCUUAGGUAAGCUGGCCUUUCACAGCCCAGUGGGGAGCCUUGCCUCACGCUUUAUCAUUCAACCAGACUGUGGCUGAUAAAUGGACACAAACAAUAAUCACCCAAAGGAAGAAAAGUCUAAACAGACCAGUCCAGAGCAUUACUACACAGCCUGGGCCAUGGGCUUUGACCAUACUCUGAUAUAAGUGUCAGUUUUAAAACCAGUGGGUUUGGUUGGGGAUUUAGCUCAGUGGUAGAGCGCUUGCCUAGCAAGCGCAAGGCCCUGGGUUCGGUCCUCAGCUUCGAAAACAAACAAACAAACAAACAAACAAACAAAAAAACAGAUUUAGUAGACCGUUAAAAACAAUGAAAUAAUUUCAAAGAAUCACACUUGGAAUUCUGGAACUCCACGUUCUAGGACAUACAACUUACUAUCUCUUACUGUAGAAAAAAGCUUCUACAGAAAGCCAUCACAUGAUCAGCUAGUUGUGUCCCUUAAGGACGGGCACUGUGGCUUUCCCAUCUUAUCUCAGUUAUUCGGUGGGUGAGUAAAACACUCAACUGUCUGCCGAUCUCCUAAUACAACACUGCUUCUAAAAGUAUUCAAAGAAAUCCAUCCUCAAAUCCAUCCCAAGACAGCCUCCCCUCCUCCCCACUGCAACUAUUUGAAUGCUAUUAUAUUGAUAUGUUCAUCCUGACAGCUCCCUCAUACAACACAGCAUCUGGCUCCCCUGUCAAAGUGAAAUCAAACUCUAACAGGGGAAAACCAGAGUUCCGCUGUUGUCACUCCCAACAUCCUGAAAAGCUGGGUAACGCUAAAAGGUGAGGACCCUGAAGCCAGCCUCCCUGGGAUCACACACCACUGCCUCCAUCCUGUGACUUGGGCCAGUUACGUUAGUCAUCCUUCUGUGCUUUAGUUGGAGAAUAAACGAUAAGAGUAACCUCCAUCUGGGGGCUGCUGUGAGAACUGAAUGGGUCCGAUGGUUGUAAAAUAGUAUCCGGCUGAAAAGGAAGCAUUCACGAAGGGCUAGCUAAUUUGGUCAUUACUCAUAGUCCCAAGGGAAAUUCCAUUGUUAUUCUACACAAUGGUCCUUUUUCUCUAGGCUUAGUGGAUACUGAUGCUCACACAGUGUACAGAUUCGGAUCUGCUGACUGGCUUUAGCAGAGGAGAGAUACUGCUGAUGGUACCACACAAGCAGAGAAGCUUCUGUAGCUCUGCUUGCCCAGAGAACCAAUCGCUGCUUUUUAAACGACCGAAGUGGUGUGAACAUCGGGAGAAUUCAUUAAAGUCUUAACAGUCUUAAAUGGUUUAUCACUUUCCCAGUAAAACGAACUGAACAUUCAUUAAAGGAUAAUUUGCAUCUCCACAGGAAAGGAUGGAAGGAUAGACCAGAUCUGGAAACUGUGGGAUGUAUCUUGCAGUUUUAGGUCCAAUGGGACAUAUUUGUUUUUAGCUUUUUUUUUUUUUUUUUAACUUGAGUGUUUCUUAUAUACAUUUCGAGUGUUAUUCCCUUUCCCGGUUUCCAGGCAAACAUCCCCCUCCCCCUCCCCUCUCCCCUUCCUUAUGGGUGUUCCCCUCCCCAUCCUCCCCCCCUUGUCGCCCUCCCCCCAACAAUCUAGUUCACUGGGGGUUCAGUCUUAGCAGGACCCAGGGCUUCCCCUUCCACUGGUGCUCUUACUAGGGUAUUCAUUGCUACCUAUGAGGUCAGAGUCCAGGGUCAGUCCAUGUAUAGUCUUUAGGUAGUGGCUUAGUCCCUGGAAGCUCUGGUUGCUUGGCAUUGUUGUACAUAUGGGAUCUCGAGCCCCUUCAAGCUCUUCCAGUUCUUUCUCUGAUUCCUUCAACGGGGGUCCUAUUCUCAGUUCAGUGGUUUGCUGCUGGCAUUCGCCUCUGUGUUUGCUGUAUUCUGGCUGUGUCUCUCGGGAGAGAUCUACAUCCGGCUCCUGUCGGCCUGCACUUCUUUGCUUCAUCCAUCUUGUCUAAUUGGAUGGCUGUAUAUGCAUGGGCCAAUGGGACAUAUUUGAAAAAAGGCCACUGGACAUGGAAGGCUAACAAAUUGUAUUCUUGUCUGCCAAGAAAACCCCUGGUGAAAAAGCCCAACAAAAACAGCAACAACAAAAAACACGCCUAGAAGCCAAGUCAGAGGGAUAUGUUGUAGAAAGCACACAGCUCAUCAUUUUCUGGCUUCCACUUGCCCACCACGAGGAGCGCUACCCAUCAACCUCACAUCAACAUGCACAAGAGGACAGCUGGACAGACAUUCGAGGCUUGUGCAUCUUGAAGGCAAUCAUGCAGGAAAGGGUCACCACUCCAUGAGUUCAGGGUCACCACUGCCAUCGAAUCAGUCUCAUUGGUAAGAGCCUCCAGCUGCAACUGUCCCCAAAGCACAUAUUCUUCAGGCACCUGAACUUCUAAAAUGUCAACAGAGAAUGAUGGGAGAGAUUUUACUUUCUGCUUUUUCCUCCCUCCGUGGACUGAGAUAUCUGAGGAAAAGCUUUUUAUCAUCCAAUAGACUCUGUCUGUCUCAUUCCUCCAGCACAUACGAACAUACCCUUCCCUAUAUAAACUCGUGAUGUGAGAAACAAAAUGAUUCCUAAGAAAAGCUCCGCCCUCUGAAGGAAGACAAGGUCUUUGAGUAAUCACAGCACAUUUGUUCCAAUAAAAUAAAAUAUGUUUGUCCAGAAAACCAAAUGGAUGUUCAACCAGAAAAACAAAUAAAUAAAUGUGUCCACAACACUGCCCUGAAGAACAAUCUGGGGACAGGCAAUAGCGUAGGGAGAGGCCAGGUGUAAAACAUACUGGAAGCAGUGAUGUGCAGACCGAAUACUAAGAAAAACAACAACCACAACAAAAAAAAAAAACUGGACUCAAAGGCUUAACAGGAAAGGAAAUAAGUGAAAGGGAAAGAAGACAGAAAGAUAGCACCGACGCAAGAUCCAGGGAAUGAUGUACGAAUCGAAACAAAACAAAGAAACAAAAGAUUAAAGAUUAAAAAAAAAAAGACUGGUACUUUGAGGUACAACAUUUAGUGAAUUUUUGUUGAUUUCAAGGAAAAAGAAAACCUCUAUUGCAGAGAACAGGCUACCAUCAAAGGCUUCUUUUCCAAUUCAGGAUGGCUCAAAUUUCCCCAAAAUACUACAUGUCAAACAUCAAUGGGCUGCUUUAAGCUUGACCCCAGUGUCUUCUCCCUAGCCUUCUUCCUUUGGGCUCGAGAACAACAGGAUCACCCUCAGGCAGGUGCUGGCAGGGCCUGAUUUUGCCCAGACACAACUGCACAGUUGUUAUUUUUUCCAAUUGGGCCAGUUGUUCAAGAUCAAGAAACAAAUCAAAAUAAGGAUACAUGAAUGUGGAAAUUGAUAGGGAUGUCAAGAAGCAAAAUUAGUAACUAUGGUUAGAACCCCCCCACACACACAUACACAUGUAACAUUAUAAAAUAAACAUGGAGCUUAAAAACAAAAACGCAAUAUUGAUUGCCAUGGGUCUACAUUAAGAGACGGAGAGUGACAGACUUAACAAUUCCUGCAAAUCACUGCCCUGGCCUCAACAGCAUGCCAUGAAGAGAUAGCAAGCUAUGUGCAAGGAUGACUGAUAUUAAUUCAGGAAAGCCCACGAGUCCCAGUAGGAACUUUUAAAAGACUUGUGUGUAUAGGUAUAGCAAUGUGUGGCUAUCAGCAUGCGAGUACGAGGGUCCAGAUUCCACAAAAGGGGCUUGGGUUCCUGGAACUGGAGUUGCAGGCAGUUUUAGGUUGCAGAACUUGGGGGCUGGAAACUUGGGUCCUUGCAAAAGCAGCAGGCCUUUAAUCUCGAGCCCCACCUCCAGAUCCUAAAGCCUGAACUGUUCUUAAGACUUACAUGCUAAUUCUGAGUUCACAAUACCCCCUUUAAUUUCUCAGAAGUCCUUCUAGCCCAGUUCAAGCGUCCACCUUUCCCCUUCUAUCCUGCACUGCCAUUGUUUUUGCAUGGACCACACUUUUUAACUAUUUUCUUUUAGCAUGCGAAUAAAACAACUGCUCUCUUUCCAACACUGGGACUAUGCAGAAUUUAGACAUCCAGAUGUAGCAAACACUAUAACCAUUACUGUUAUUUUUCUGUAACAAUAACCUCCUACCCUUUCUCAGUGUUACCAUAAUUUGCUUUUAAAAAAAAAAUCCAUCUUUCCAUGAGAAUAUUCAAAUUUAACUGGAGCUUCAAUCUACAGAAAGAAAAAGCUUUCCAAGGAAUGUCUGCCACUAAAGAAUUUAAGCUACUGUGGAGUUAAAACUAUUUGCUUUUUUUUUUCCCAUUUAUUUCUCUGGGAGGCAGGGGGAAGGAGGGGUUUAAACUUCAUACCUCAGAGACCUGCUGGGAGGGCUGAGUUAAGAUGUUAAAACACUUGGUGAUGUACCUUGUACAUGAGAGGUACUGAAUAAGUGUUGUUACCAGACCACUGGUAUCAUGUAGGGCUUGGUGAUGUCACAGAAAAUUCGACCCCUAUCUGCUUCUUGACUCAGUGUUACAGGCUGAUGCUAAGCCUGUAUAGACAAGAAAAUAUAGACCUCUCAUGCCUACAUGCUGAAAUUCCCCCCUGAUUUAUUACAUUCUAGUCACUUAAAUAAACCCUGGAGAAUUAAUUUUCCUGAAAUACUUUCUUAAUAAAUUGCAAAAAUAGUUCCAAGAGAAGAUGAAUAGCAUUUGGGGGUUCCCCCCCAACACACACUUUUUUUUUUUUUUUUUACAAAUUAAGUGGGUUCUCAUUUUCUGGUCUUCAAAAUGAGGAACACAGCAUGAUUUUAAAAGUUACUUGGAAGAUUUAUACUGUAAUAAAGGCAUUUUUCCAAAUUAGCACACACAUUCACAAAUGCCAAAUAGUAUUUGGGACAUUCAGUUGUUGAAACAUAAGCCAGAUUGUGGAAUGAGGUAAUAGCUAUUAGGCCAACUAAGACAGAAGGAAAAAUAAUCGACUGAAAGCUUUCUGUGAGGAGAUUCUUAAAACUCAGGGAUUUGGAGAGAAGUCAGCACAAGUAUGUACUCAUCUAGCCUUUUAUUAAUUUAAGUUUGAGUUCUGAUUUUUUAUUUUUAAUUAUGUGAAAAGGCAUGCUAUGCGCCUAAGUGUGUUGAAGUAUCUCUUGGAACCAGAGGCAUCCAAACCCACAGAGCUAGAGUGAAAGGUGUUUCAAGCUGCCUGAUGUGGGUGCUGGGAACUGAACUUGAGCUCUCUGUAAGAGCAGCAAGCACUUUAAACCACCGAGCCUCCUCUCCAGUCUCCAGAUACAUACAUACAUACAUACAUACAUACAUACAUACAUGCAUGCAUGCAUGCAUGCAUGCAUACAUAUGUACAUACAUACAUGCAUGCAUACAUACACAUGUACAUACAUACAUACAUGCAUACAUACAUGCAUACAAAGCAUACCAUACAUAUUACACAGUAUA
Molecule: non-coding RNA, 9467 nt
Organism: Rattus norvegicus (Norway rat)
Lineage: Eukaryota; Metazoa; Chordata; Mammalia; Rodentia; Muridae
Source: RefSeq, a predicted model, not a curated record